RNAcentral lists this small nucleolar RNA (97 nucleotides) under Ipomoea nil (Japanese morning glory). RNAcentral's name for it is "Small nucleolar RNA snoR31/Z110/Z27". It matches the Rfam family "Small nucleolar RNA snoR31/Z110/Z27". From Rfam's summary of the family: This family contains several related snoRNAs including R31, Z27 and Z110. Lineage: Eukaryota; Viridiplantae; Streptophyta; Magnoliopsida; Solanales; Convolvulaceae. The record is from Rfam by way of RNAcentral.
AUCAAGGAUGAUGAAAUCAGAAAAAUCUUAGGACACCUUCUGACACAGUAAUGCCAAUUCUGUGUGUGAGAAAAGAUUAUGUUUUUCUGAUCUUGAU